CAAAAUAAAAUUGAAAUUUCAUCAUUUUUAUUAGCCGCCUGUCUGUCGUCUAGAAUGCCAGGCCAAGACAGAUGCCACAUUAAAAAAAAAACCCCCAUUAAUGAAACACUGAAUUUUCCAAUUGAAUGCGGCGGCACACGAUCAGAUAAAAAUACAUUUUUGAGACAGAGGGAAUGUCAAUGUCAAAAAUUGUGGCGCUGGCUUUCAAGCCAGAGACCAGCCUGGCUGGUGAUGAUCUCUAGCCAAGCUUAAGGAUUCCUUUCCGUUCAGCAAUUUCAAUGCAGUGGGUUCCCCCCCAUCCAGCCUGACAGCCAUCCAGCCUGCCCAGCCUUCAAUGGGGAACCCUUGGAAAAUGUGUCGAAAAUUUACGAUGCCUGUGACACAGUUAACUCAUGCUCUCGACACCGAAAACAUAUAUCAAAUGUGUGGCACGACUUGGAAUGCCAUCCACCGACCACGGACCACGGAAUACGGAGACAGAGGGUUUACCUGCUUUAACCAGAACUCAGUGCCAGAGCCAGAGACCAGAGCCCACAGUCAGAGCCCAGAGCCACAGCACAGACCCCAGACCCAAACAAUAACGUGAAAUAUGUGCGGCGUUUUGCAAUUCAUACGCAAAAAUGGAUGAGGGAGCAACAUCAACGACAAGAAGGACGACCACGACAACGACAACGACUACGACGAUGGCGGCGGCGGCGGCCCAUUUGAAUCGUUCGACCUGCCAAUGGUUCUACAGUAGCCACCACCACAUCACUCCGCACUCCGCAGAGCACUCCACUCCUCUCUCCACUCUGCCAUCAACAGACGCAGGACACAACCGCAUAUGCAACGCGGAUAGUGGGAUACAAUAACACAUUGUCUGAGGCAAAAAUGGGGCGAAAUAAAAAAGUGUGCGACAUUGGCAAGUGGCAGGUCAGAGAGCGGUACAAAAUACAGUGCGUAGCAAAAGACUAAUGCCAUCAAGAUGGCAAUUCUGAACAUCUUUUUGAGAAUUUAGCAAAAGAACAAACAGAUCUGUCAGAGCAAUAAAUCAAUUUUCAACGGAAAAAGGCCUCAGAAAUUAUGAAAUUAAGAUGAUAAUUACAUGCUGGCUAGAUACAAGACCUUUCAAACUUUAAGAGAUAUUUUCUACAAAUUGUUAGAGUUAACAAAUAAAUAAAA
Drosophila obscura is the source of this 1161-nucleotide long non-coding RNA. RefSeq lists it as uncharacterized. Lineage: Eukaryota; Metazoa; Arthropoda; Insecta; Diptera; Drosophilidae. The transcript is spliced from 2 exons. The record is from RefSeq and is a predicted model, not a curated record.